AUUGAACGCUGGCGGCACGCUUAACACAUGCAAGUCGAGCGGUAACAUGGUUUGUAGCAAUACAAACUGAUGACGAGCGGCGGACGGGUGAGUAACACGUAGGAAUUUGCCCAAUAGAGGGGGACAACCAAGGGAAACCUUGGCUAAUACCGCAUAUACUCGAGAGAGGAAAGCUGCCGCAAGGUGGCGCUAUUGGAGAGGCCUGCGUCUGAUUAGCUAGUUGGUGAGGUAAAGGCUCACCAAGGCGAUGAGCAGUAACUAGUCUGAGAGGACGACCAGUAACACUGGGACUGAGACACGGCCCAGACUCCUACGGGAGGCAGCAGUGGGGAAUCUUGGACAAUGGGGGCAACCCUGAUCCAGCGAUGCCGCGUGAGUGAAGAAGGCCUUCGGGUCGUAAAGCUCUUUAGGUCGGGAGGAAGGUUGGUAGUUUAAGAGAUAACCAAUUUGACUGUACCGACAGAAUAAGCACCGGCAAACUCUGUGCCAGCCGCCGCCGUAA
This 502-nucleotide ribosomal RNA is filed under the name uncultured bacterium. RNAcentral describes it as "partial 16S ribosomal RNA". It matches the Rfam family "Bacterial small subunit ribosomal RNA", at positions 30 to 523 of the family's 1533-position model. The record is from RNAcentral.